RNAcentral lists this ribosomal RNA (446 nucleotides) under uncultured bacterium. RNAcentral describes it as "bacterial SSU rRNA". It matches the Rfam family "Bacterial small subunit ribosomal RNA", at positions 329 to 792 of the family's 1533-position model. The record is from RNAcentral.
UACCAGACUCCUACGGGAGGCAGCAGUGGGGAAUAUUGCACAAUGGGGGAAACCCUGAUGCAGCGACGCCGCGUGAGUGAAGAAGUAUUUCGGUAUGUAAAGCUCUAUCAGCAGGGAAGAAAAUGACGGCACCUGACUAAGAAGCCCCGGCUAACUACGUGCCAGCAGCCGCGGUAAUACGUAGGGGGCAAGCGUUAUCCGGAUUUACUGGGUGUAAAGGGAGCGUAGACGGCAUGGCAAGUCAGAUGUGAAAGCCCGGGGCUCAACCCCGGGACUGCAUUUGAAACUGUCAGGCUGGAGUGCAGGAGAGGUAAGUGGAAUUCCUAGUGUAGCGGUGAAAUGCGUAGAUAUUAGGAGGAACACCAGUGGCGAAGGCGGCUUACUGGACUGUAACUGACGUUGAGGCUCGAAAGCGUGGGGAGCAAACAGGAUUAGAUACCCCAGUA